Molecule: non-coding RNA, 54 nt
Organism: Salmo salar (Atlantic salmon)
Lineage: Eukaryota; Metazoa; Chordata; Actinopteri; Salmoniformes; Salmonidae
Source: Rfam
UGCACAAACAACUGCAAAUCACUCUGGCUAAGAGUGUCUGCUAAAUGACUGAAA